This 469-nucleotide ribosomal RNA is filed under the name uncultured organism. RNAcentral's name for it is "partial 16S ribosomal RNA". It matches the Rfam family "Bacterial small subunit ribosomal RNA", at positions 335 to 796 of the family's 1533-position model. The record is from RNAcentral.
ACUCCUGCGGGAGGCAGCAGUGGGGAAUUUUGGACAAUGGGCGAAAGCCUGAUCCAGCAAUGCCGCGUGAGUGAAGAAGGCCUUCGGGUUGUAAAGCUCUUUUGUCAGGGAAGAAACGGUGAGAGCUAAUAUCUUUUGCUAAUGACGGUACCUGAAGAAUAAGCACCGGCUAACUACGUGCCAGCAGCCGCGGUAAUACGUAGGGUGCAAGCGUUAAUCGGAAUUACUGGGCGUAAAGCGUGCGCAGGCGGUUUUGUAAGUCUGAUGUGAAAUCCCCGGGCUCAACCUGGGAAUUGCAUUGGAGACUGCAAGGCUAGAAUCUGGCAGAGGGGGGUAGAAUUCCACGUGUAGCAGUGAAAUGCGUAGAUAUGUGGAGGAACACCGAUGGCGAAGGCAGCCCCCUGGGUCAAGAUUGACGCUCAUGCACGAAAGCGUGGGGAGCAAACAGGAUUAGAAACCCCUGUAGUCC